RNAcentral lists this ribosomal RNA (425 nucleotides) under uncultured bacterium. RNAcentral describes it as "partial 16S ribosomal RNA". It matches the Rfam family "Bacterial small subunit ribosomal RNA", at positions 354 to 796 of the family's 1533-position model. The record is from RNAcentral.
GUGGGGAAUAUUGGACAAUGGGCGCAAGCCUGAUCCAGCCAUGCCGCGUGAGUGAUGAAGGCCUUCGGGUUGUAAAGCUCUUUAGUCCACGAAUAUAAUGACUGUAGUGGAAGAAUAAGCCCCGGCUAACUUCGUGCCAGCAGCCGCGGUAAUACGAAGGGGGCGAGCGUUAUUCGGAAUCACUGGGCGUAAAGCGUGCGUAGGCUGUUUUGUAAGUCAGAAGUGAAAGCCCAGGGCUUAACCCUGGAAUUGCUUUUGAAACUACAAGACUCGAAUUCGGGAGAGGAUAGCGGAAUUGUCAGUGUAGCAGUGAAAUGCGUAGAUAUUGACAGGAACACCAGUGGCGCAAGCGGCUAUCUGGACCGAUAUUGACGCUGAGGCACGAAAGCGUGGGGAGCAAACAGGAUUAGAAACCCGUGUAGUCC